Molecule: transfer RNA, 67 nt
Filed under: Dendrohyrax dorsalis (Western tree hyrax)
Lineage: Eukaryota; Metazoa; Chordata; Mammalia; Hyracoidea; Procaviidae
Also listed under: 1 other name
Description: transfer RNA-Pro
Source: RNAcentral
CAGGAAAUAGUUUAAUGAGAAUGCUGACUUUGGGUGUCAGUGGUGGGGGCUUGGUCUUCUUUCCUGA